RNAcentral lists this unclassified non-coding RNA (357 nucleotides) under Hevea brasiliensis (rubber tree). Lineage: Eukaryota; Viridiplantae; Streptophyta; Magnoliopsida; Malpighiales; Euphorbiaceae. The record is from RNAcentral.
UUUGACCCUAUAAUAGGAAGUAAGUGGUUUGAGGAACAACGUGUUGGGGAAGUUUCAACUAGAAGUGGCAGAGGGAAGCAUACCACCUGUAAUGUUUCUUUGCUUCCACUAUCUGGAGGAGGGUAUCUUGCUGAUACUCCUGGGUUUAACCAGCCUAGUUUGCUUAAAGUAACAAAGCACUUUCUUGCACUGGCAUUCCCUGAGAUCCGUAAAAUGCUUAGUGCUAGAAGACCUGCUAAAUGUGCAUUCAAUGAUUGCUUACAUCUUGGUGAGCCUGGAUGCAUUGUGAAAGGGGACUGGGAAAGAUAUUCGUUCUAUUUUCAACUUGUUGAUGAGAUCAGAAUCAGGGAGGAAUUU